GUUAUAUGGUCAAGUGAAGAAGCGCAUACGGUGGAUGCCUUGGCAGUCAGAGGCGAUGAAAGACGUGGUAGCCUGCGAAAAGCUUCGGGGAGUCGGCAAACAGACUUUGAUCCGGAGAUGUCUGAAUGGGGGAACCCAACCAUCAUAAGAUGGUUAUCUUGUACUGAAUACAUAGGUACAAGAAGCGAACCAGGGGAACUGAAACAUCUAAGUACCCUGAGGAAAAGAAAUCAACCGAGAUUCCCUUAGUAGUGGCGAGCGAACGGGGACCAGCCCUUAAGCUGUAUUGAUGUUAGCGGAACGCUCUGGAAAGUGCGGCCAUAGUGGGUGAUAGCCCUGUACGCGAAAACAUCUUUGCAGUGAAAUCGAGUAGGACGGAGCACGAGAAACUUUGUCUGAAUAUGGGGGGACCAUCCUCCAAGGCUAAAUACUACUGACUGACCGAUAGUGAACUAGUACCGUGAGGGAAAGGCGAAAAGAACCCCGGAGAGGGGAGUGAAAUAGAUCCUGAAACCGUAUGCGUACAAGCAGUGGGAGCCCACUUUGUUGGGUGACUGCGUACCUUUUGUAUAAUGGGUCAGCGACUUAUUUUCAGUGGCAAGCUUAACCGAAUAGGGGAGGCGUAGCGAAAGCGAGUCUUAAUAGGGCGUCUAGUCGCUGGGAAUAGACCCGAAACCGGGCGAUCUAUCCAUGGGCAGGUUGAAGGUUGGGUAACACUAACUGGAGGACCGAACCGACUACCGUUGAAAAGUUAGCGGAUGACCUGUGGAUCGGAGUGAAAGGCUAAUCAAGCUCGGAGAUAGCUGGUUCUCCUCGAAAGCUAUUUAGGUAGCGCCUCAUGUAUCACUGUAGGGGGUAGAGCACUGUUUCGGCUAGGGGGUCAUCCCGACUUACCAAACCGAUGCAAACUCCGAAUACCUACAAGUGCCGAGCAUGGGAGACACACGGCGGGUGCUAACGUCCGUCGUGAAAAGGGAAACAACCCAGACCGUCAGCUAAGGUCCCAAAGUUAUGGUUAAGUGGGAAACGAUGUGGGAAGGCUUAGACAGCUAGGAGGUUGGCUUAGAAGCAGCCACCCUUUAAAGAAAGCGUAAUAGCUCACUAGUCGAGUCGGCCUGCGCGGAAGAUUUAACGGGGCUCAAACCAUACACCGAAGCUACGGGUAUCACGUAAGUGAUGCGGUAGAGGAGCGUUCUGUAAGCCUGUGAAGGUGAGUUGAGAAGCUUGCUGGAGGUAUCAGAAGUGCGAAUGCUGACAUGAGUAACGAUAAUGGGUGUGAAAAACACCCACGCCGAAAGACCAAGGUUUCCUGCGCAACGUUAAUCGACGCAGGGUUAGUCGGUCCCUAAGGCGAGGCUGAAAAGCGUAGUCGAUGGAAAACAGGUUAAUAUUCCUGUACUUCUGGUUAUUGCGAUGGAGGGACGGAGAAGGCUAGGCCAGCUUGGCGUUGGUUGUCCAAGUUUAAGGUGGUAGGCUGGAAUCUUAGGUAAAUCCGGGAUUCUAAGGCCGAGAGCUGAUGACGAGUGUUCUUUUAGAACACGAAGUGGUUGAUGCCAUGCUUCCAAGAAAAGCUUCUAAGCUUCAGGUAACCAGGAACCGUACCCCAAACCGACACAGGUGGUUGGGUAGAGAAUACCAAGGCGCUUGAGAGAACUCGGGUGAAGGAACUAGGCAAAAUGGCACCGUAACUUCGGGAGAAGGUGCGCCGGUGAGGGU
RNAcentral lists this ribosomal RNA (1716 nucleotides) under Pseudomonas lundensis. Its description in RNAcentral is "bacterial LSU rRNA". It matches the Rfam family "Bacterial large subunit ribosomal RNA", at positions 1 to 1761 of the family's 2925-position model. Lineage: Bacteria; Pseudomonadati; Pseudomonadota; Gammaproteobacteria; Pseudomonadales; Pseudomonadaceae. The record is from RNAcentral.